CACGUAGGGGGCAAGCGUUGUCCGGAUUUAUUGGGCGGAAAGAGCUCGUAGGCGGCUUAGUAAGUCGGGUGUGAAACCUCCAGGCUCAACCUGGAGACGCCACCCGAUACUGCUGUGGCUAGAGUCCGGUAGGGGAGCGUGGAAUUCCUGGUGUAGCGGUGAAAUGCGCAGAUAUCAGGAGGAACACCAGCGGCGAAGGCGGCGCUCUGGGCCGGUACUGACGCUGAGGUGCGAAAGCGUGGGGAGCAAACAGG
This 254-nucleotide ribosomal RNA is filed under the name uncultured bacterium. Its description in RNAcentral is "partial 16S ribosomal RNA". It matches the Rfam family "Bacterial small subunit ribosomal RNA", at positions 524 to 776 of the family's 1533-position model. The record is from RNAcentral.